UGCGCAGGCGGUUUUGUAAGACAGAUGUGAAAUCCCCGGGCUUAACCUGGGAACUGCGUUUGUGACUGCAAGGCUAGAGUACGGCAGAGGGGGGUGGAAUUCCUGGUGUAGCAGUGAAAUGCGUAGAGAUCAGGAGGAACACCGAUGGCGAAGGCAGCCCCCUGGGCCUGUACUGACGCUCAUGCACGAAAGCUGGGAGCAAACA
RNAcentral lists this ribosomal RNA (205 nucleotides) under uncultured bacterium. Its description in RNAcentral is "partial 16S ribosomal RNA". It matches the Rfam family "Bacterial small subunit ribosomal RNA", at positions 568 to 774 of the family's 1533-position model. The record is from RNAcentral.